ACGGCCACCAGGAGGGCUGGAGGCCUCGUGGCACCGGCCACCAGUCCUGGACGUGGCACCGGGACGCAGCAGACGCAGCCCAGCUGGUGCACACAGCCUUUUAUUUUUGGGCAAGCCAGAGCCACGGAGGUGACAAAAAGGUCCAAACGCAGACAGGGAAGGGGAGCGGGGAGAGCAUCAACCUGCAGGGAGAAGUGGAGAGCCGUAAGGGAAGGGGUGGCAGCGGCUGGGGCAGGGGCAGGGGGGGUGAUAGGGGGAGGUGGGCAGUGGGGCAGGGCUUGCUUACCUCCUAGUCCUCAUCGGGAAGCGGGGUGUGGCUCUUGGUGUCCAGUAUGGAAUCCAGCGUGGAGUCGAGCGUGGGAUCCACCAUGGGAUCCACCAUGGGAUCCACCAUGGGGUCCAUCAUGGGAUCCAUCACGGAGUCCAUCAUGGAGUCCAUCCCGCUGUCUGUCCCGGUGUCCAUCCCCGUGUCCAUCCCGGUGUCCGUCUCGGUGUCCAGCCCAGUGUACGUCCCGGUGUCCUUCAUGGUGUCCUUCAUGGUGUCCAUCACGGUGUCCAUGGCGUCCAUCACAGUGUCUGCCAUGGAGUCUAUCCUGGUGUCCUUCACAGCCUCUGUCACGGCCUCCAUCACGGCGUCCAUCACGGUGCCCGGCAUGCCUUGGAGCAGCACCUGGGACACGCUGCGGCCAGCAGAGGUUAUGGGGCAGGGGGCGCAGGACCCCACCAGGUUGGGGCACCCCCUUUCUCCUUGCAGGGAGCCAGGGUUUGAUGCCCUCCUGCUUUUAAUUCCUGACUGAUAAAAUGAGGGUGAAAGGGAUCUGGGCCUCUCCCCUACUGAGGGACCACAAGCCACAAACCCACGUUUGGGCAAAGGGAGCCCUCCCAAAAAAUCCACGCCAAGGGGACCUCACCCGUUUUUAGCUUGCUCCUUCCUGUCCUCCACCAGAUCAUCCUCCAGCAGGCUCGAGACGCGAUGGACACGGGUCUGGCUGCAAGAACCACUCCUCAGAUGCUGCCACAGCCACUGCUGCCCCCAGCACCCCAUCCUGGUGCCCUGUGCCCCCCCGGGGCUUUACCUCCACCUCAAGUACUGGACCUUCAUCCUGUCCUCCACAAGGACCUGCCCGUGUGGCUGCACCCCACGGUCAGCAUCACCCUGGGGGAAUGUCAGGAUUCAGGCAGCCCCCCAGGACCUCCCAUCCCAGCACCACAGAGGGGUUUAUUGGGGUCCCAGGUGUUGCUGUGGGUGCUGACCUGGGGGCUUGGACCACCGGCUUGCUGGGAGGCUGGAGGAGCUGCUGCAGGCUCUGCUUGGGGCUCUGCCCAGGGCUCUGCCUGGGGCUCUGCCCAGGGCUCUGCCCGUGGUUCUGCCCGGGGCUCUCCUUGGGGCUCUCCUUGUGGCUCUGCCUCAGGCUCUGCCCAGAUUUCCAGCACCCUCUGGAACAACCUGGAGAGCAGCUCUUCACCCUGCGAAGGGAGCAGAGCUGCAGGCUGGCUGUGGCUGCACCAGGGGCUGCAUCUCAACACGUGGCACUGGCUCGGUCCUCAAAAAAAAAAUGCCCUGGAUAUAAAGCCCAGGCUCCCCCCAACCCCUACGGGCAUUCUCCUGCCUCAUCUUCACCUUGCGCAGACACCAACUGACCGUGGCCAAUGCAUCCACAUCCUCCACGGGGCCAUCCUGGAAGAGGGGAACCCGGUGAGCCCCAGGACUCACCCAGGGUCCAAACCUGCCCCAAGGAGCCAGGGGGCACAGCCCCUGCUGCCCCCUGCUCACCGGUGCACUGUUGGUGGGGAUGUGCCCGCCGGUGCCUUUCCGUGCCGCGAUGUACGCCAGCCACAGGGACACGAUCAUCCUGGGCACCCUGCCCCGGGGCAGCCCCCGGCACCGCCGGCACCCCCGGAUUGUUGGGUCAGAGCCGGAACCGGCACCACGGGGCUCCCGGAGCAACGGGGAGAAGGGUGGGGGGGGGACCCAAUCCUGCCCCGCUCAGCGUAAAGCUGCCACUGCCCCGAGCUGCAGCACCACUUGGAGAGGGUGGCAGGGAGCAAAGCUCUCGCCCCACCAGUGAUCUUGCCCCAAGAAAGUCAUGAAACAUGGAUGGAGGUUGGGGAGAAGCGCCUCCACCUCCACCCCAUCACACCUGUGGCUGUGGGAUUGAGGGCACCCGAUGGAAUUCAACCCAUGGCACCCACCCGACCCCCAGACCCCAAGGGACAAGCAUCCUCCCCUCUCUCUGGCAACAGCCCCAGAGCAGCCCAUCUGCUCCCAAGAGCCCCAGCCCAACCCAAUGAUGUCAAACGGACUUCAUUUUUUAUUAUUUUUUUUUUUUAGCAAAUGUUUAUUUAUAUCAAAAUACAAAACAUUUCUGAAGCAGGGUAAUGUUACAUGAGGAGCAAGUUAAUCAGUUCCAAAACCCAUCAUUCUCCUACAGAAUGGCUAGUUGGACGUAACAUCGCAACACCGCCAUCAUUUCUUAAGUGGGUACAUUAGAGGAGAAAAAAAAAAUAAAAAUAAUAAUAAAAAAAAAAGAAGUCA
This 2536-nucleotide long non-coding RNA is filed under the name Anas platyrhynchos platyrhynchos (common mallard). RNAcentral describes it as "lncRNA (ENSAPLG00000026820.1)". The record is from RNAcentral. Lineage: Eukaryota; Metazoa; Chordata; Aves; Anseriformes; Anatidae.